GGUUGAUCCUGCCAGUAUCAUAUGCUUGUCUCAAAGAUUAAGCCAUGCAUGUCUAAGUAUAAGCAUCCUUAUACUGUGAAACUGCAGAUGGCUCAUUAAAUCAGUUAUAAUUUAUUUGAUGAUUACUUACUACAUGGAUAACCGUAGUAAUUCUAGAGCUAAUACAUGCGUAAAUCCGCGACUCGUAAGGGGAGUGGAGUAUUUAUUAGAUAAAAAACCAAUAGCCAGGGGCAACUCUGGCUUUGAUGACGAUUCAUAAUAACUGUUCGGACCGCAUGGCUUCAAGCCGGCGG
Molecule: ribosomal RNA, 293 nt
Filed under: uncultured eukaryote
Lineage: Eukaryota
Description: partial 18S ribosomal RNA
Rfam family: Eukaryotic small subunit ribosomal RNA
Source: RNAcentral